AUUGAACGCUGGCGGCAGGCCUAACACAUGCAAGUCGAGCGGAUGACGGGAGCUUGCUCCUUGAUUCAGCGGCGGACGGGUGAGUAAUGCCUAGGAAUCUGCCUGGUAGUGGGGGACAACGUUUCGAAAGGAACGCUAAUACCGCAUACGUCCUACGGGAGAAAGCAGGGGACCUUCGGGCCUUGCGCUAUCAGAUGAGCCUAGGUCGGAUUAGCUAGUAGGGGAGGUAAUGGCUCACCUAGGCGACGAUCCGUAACUGGUCUGAGAGGAUGAUCAGUCACACUGGAACUGAGACACGGUCCAGACUCCUACGGGAGGCAGCAGUGGGGAAUAUUGGACAAUGGGCGAAAGCCUGAUCCAGCCAUGCCGCGUGUGUGAAGAAGGUCUUCGGAUUGUAAAGCACUUUAAGUUGGGAGGAAGGGCAGUAAGUUAAUACCUUGCUGUUUUGACGUUACCGACAGAAUAAGCACCGGCUAACUCUGUGCCAGCCGCCGCCGUAA
This 500-nucleotide ribosomal RNA is filed under the name uncultured bacterium. RNAcentral's name for it is "partial 16S ribosomal RNA". It matches the Rfam family "Bacterial small subunit ribosomal RNA", at positions 30 to 523 of the family's 1533-position model. The record is from RNAcentral.